GAACGCUAGCGACAGGCUUAACACAUGCAAGUCGAGGGGUAACAGGGUAGCAAUACCGCUGACGACCGGCGCACGGGUGAGUAACGCGUAUGCAACCUGCCUAGUAACUGGGGGAAUAGCUCCCUAGAAAGGGGGAAUUAACACCGCAUAACACUAUUGAUUCGCAUGGAUUGGUAGUUAAAUGUAGCGAUACAGGUUAUAGAUGGGCAUGCGUGACAUUAGCUAGUUGGUGAGGUAACGGCUCACCAAGGCUACGAUGUCUAGGGGUUCUGAGAGGAAGGUCCCCCCACACUGGUACUGAGACACGGACCAGACUCCUACGGGAGGCAGCAGUGAGGAAUAUUGGUCAAUGGGCGCAAGCCUGAACCAGCCAUGUCGCGUGCAGGAAGACUCGCCCUAUGGGUUGUAAACUGCUUUUAUAGUAGAAGAAACUCAUCUACGCGUAGAUGUCUGCCAGUAUACUAUGAAUAAGCAUCGGCUAACUCCGUGCCAGCCGCUGC
This 500-nucleotide ribosomal RNA is filed under the name uncultured bacterium. RNAcentral's name for it is "bacterial SSU rRNA". It matches the Rfam family "Bacterial small subunit ribosomal RNA", at positions 31 to 518 of the family's 1533-position model. The record is from RNAcentral.